This is an RNA transcript of Sander lucioperca (pikeperch), 2661 nucleotides long. It is a transcript of the gene named metal transporter CNNM3, with no coding region annotated. The transcript has 13 exons. Lineage: Eukaryota; Metazoa; Chordata; Actinopteri; Perciformes; Percidae. The record is from RefSeq and is a predicted model, not a curated record.
UGAGCCCAGCGCGUUCCAUUUGUCCUCCGGUGUGACGUCGUUCCCAGAACGCCCCGGGGGGGCGGGGCCGCUGCAAGGGCUUGAGUCACAUGAGCAGAGCCAGGCUGACCAAUUCCAAUAUGGUGGCUAGCUUGGCAGGUCUACGGUUCCUGUUGAUGAUAUUGUUGUUCUGCGGGAUCAGGUACGGCGCCUGCAGCCAGGAAGCUCCGCUGGUUCUGGGGCUGCGACUGGAAGACCCGACGGGUCUGGUGUGUAUGAAGGAUCGGAUCAUCUCGGCGCCAGAAGGAGCCACGUUCAACCUCCGUCUUUUUGGGACUGGGCUGGAUGGAAACUGGACGUGGGUGGCGUUCGCAGGGGCAGCUGGCGGAGCCGCGGGGUCGGUCGGGGAUACGCCUGACCCGUGCGAGCUGGAGUCCAACCGCCAGGAGUCCGCUUUCCAGGUGACGGGUAAUAUCACCCAGGAUGAGGAAAACAGCCGGCUGGUACAUGUAGAGGUCCGGCAGAGGAGCAUCUCUGGCAGCGAGCACACCUACUACCAACUGUGCGUGCUGAGCGGAGAGAAAUGGGCUUCUGUAGGCUCGGAAAGACUACGGAUCAGCGGUCCACCCGUGGACUACAUCCCGCCGUGGGGUCUGGCCGUGCUGGUCGUGCUGCUGCUUCUGGUCUGCGGAACACUGAGGAUAGUGAACCUGAGCCUUCUGUGGCUGGACCCCGUGGAGCUGUAUGUCCUUCAUAGCUGUGGAUCCGAGGAGGAGAAGCGGGCCGCCAAGCGCCUGGAGCCGAUCAGGCGGAGGGGGAACUUCUUGACAUGUUCUUUGCUGUUUCUGUGUGCUAUGGGACACUCUGUCCUUGGCGUCCUCCUGUACCGGGCGCUGGGCUCCAUCGUCUCGGCCGUGUUCACCAGCGGCCUCCUCAUCUUCUUCCUGGCUGAGCUGGGUCCUCACAUGCUGUGCUCCGGUUACGGGUUCCAGCUGGCGCCGGCUCUGACCUGGCUGGCCCAGGUUUGCUUGGUGCUCACCUGCCCCCUGUCCUGCCCUCUGGGGCUGAUCCUGGACCUGGGCCUGAGGCGGGACAUCAGCACCUGUGGGAUCAGGGAGAGGACCAUGGAGAUGAUCCGCACAAGCGUCAACGACCCUUACAGUGAGUUUGUGAAGGAGGAGUUCAGCCGCGGGAUGCUGCGCACUAAGACGGUGGAGGACAUCCUGACGCCCCUGAAGGACUGCUUCAUGCUGCCCAGCUCGGUCGUCCUGGACUUCUCCACCAUGUCUGACAUCAUGCAGUGCGGGUACACCCGGGUUCCCAUCUACGAGGAGGAGAGGUCCAACAUUGUGGAAAUCCUUUAUGUGAAGGACUUGGCGCUGGUGGACCCAGACGACUGCACCCCCAUGACGACCAUCACCAAGUUCUACAACCACCCGCUGCACUACGUCUUCAACGACACCAAACUGGACGCCAUGCUGGAGGAGUUCAAGAAAGGCAACUCUCACAUGGCCAUCGUCCAGAAAGUGAACAACGAGGGGGAGGGCGAUCCUUUCUACGAGGUGCUGGGAUUGGUCACGCUGGAGGACGUCAUCGAGGAGAUCAUCAAGUCCGAGAUCCUGGACGAGUCCGACGGAUACUUAGACAGGAAGGUGAAGCGUCCUCUCGCUCCGCUGGAGAUUCCUCUGGAGUCUCGCAGCGUCCACGAGGAGUUUUCUCUCUUCAAGCCUCCCGAAGGAGAAGCCAAGAUCCGAACCUCACCACAACUCCUGCUGGCUACACACCGCUUCCUGUCCAGAGAGGUGUCACACUUCAGCCCCGGCCGUGUUUCGGAGAAGGUCCUGUUCCACCUGCUCCGUCACCCCAGUGUCAACCAGGAAGUGCACUUUGAUCCAAAUAACCGGCUGAGCCCAGGUCACUAUCUCUACACGCGCAACCACCCGGUCGACUAUUUCAUCCUGCUGCUGCAGGGCCGUGUGGAGGUGGAGAUCGGUAAAGAGGGGCUGAAGUUUGAGAACGGAGCGUUUACAUACUACGGCAUGUCUGCGCUCACGCUGCCAUCUUCAGUGCACCAGUCUCCAGUAUCGACGCAGCGUCACUCUCCCAACGAUCCCUUUGAGUCAGCAGACGCUACGAGCCCAUCCAACUAUUGUCCCGACUACACCGUCCGAGCUCUCACCGACCUGCAGCUCAUACGGGUGACACGUCUCCAGUAUCUGAACGCUCUCAUGGCGUCGCGGGUCGGUCCGAGCCCAGAUCCUCCCGAGAUUAAGAUCCUGCCCAACAGUCAGACCAAGCUGCUCAACGAGAGAAACGCCACACAACAAGAGUUCCCCGUAAACUUUUCUUUCUUUGAUACCAUUGAGAACUACUGUUAGUAUUUUUUUGUGCAUGAGUUUCUGCUUUACCUGAAAUCAUCUCACUUCUCUCUGUCGGGUGCCAGUAGCGCCCAGGAGAGGUUCACAGAAGAGGAGGCUCAUGGGUAGUGCGGUUCUGACCUGCUUCAACCAAGUAGAGCUUUUUUAGUUAGUUUUUAUUGCUGAAUCAUCUAUGGCUGGAACGUAGUUAUUGGACAAGACUGGAGCGAGAGUGAUUUCCUUUAUUUAGAUCUGCUGCUCACACAUCUCAUCUCCAUCCCCAUUCCUUUGUCAUUUCCAUUGCAAUUAUUAUUUCAUGUGUUUU